AACUUUCCGCGUUCUUCCAGAUAAUUAAUCUAACCAAUCACAUGCGAGGAGGAAUGUAGACCAACCAAUCACAUCCUAGCGGGAGACCAAUCCGGAAGUAAAGGAAGGAGCUCCUGCAGAAUCCCAAAUCCGUCAUCAGACCCUGAAUAAGUGCCCUAACCGCAGCGCAGGGAGCAGAUCCUCUCUACAGGGAGCUGACUUCAGUCCCUACAUGUGCAGCUGCGGUUCGGGAUUCGGUCUCUCACACCGAGGAAGCGGGGAUAUUAAAGAUAUUAAAGAUAUUAAAGAUAUUAAAGCUGUUUAUAUCGUUAAACAUUUUCAGGUUGGAGUGGGCGUGGUCAGGAUGGAGUCUGCUGCGUUACCUCACUGGGAGAUGCUCCUGUACUGGUUCCUGUCCUUCAUCUCUCAUCUCUACUCCUUCUACCAGCUUCACCUGUUCUCUAAAGAGCAUGAGGAGAGCUUGGACAGAGACGUGCAGCUGGAGAAAGGCUUCUUGAUCCGGGGCAGUAAAAAGGAUGCCACCGAUUUUGAGUGGAGUUUCUGGAAUGAGUGGGCGUGGCGUUCUCUCCUCUGGUCUCUGAUUGGUCAUGCUGUGAUGUCACAGCUCACGAGUGUGUGUAUGCCUCAGUUGAGAAAGGCCGUCCUCACAGUGUACGGUGUUCUCUGUGCCUGGUGGCUCCUCGGCUGGAGGGGCGUGGCUGUUCUAAUGCUUCACCUGAGUGUUUCAUUGGCUGUUGCUCAGCUGCAGAACCCCGCCCUUUCCUGGGGCUGCACUCUGUUACUGCUCUCUACGCUACACAUCAGCAGUGUGCAAGACAUACAGCGAGGCUGGUACGACUCAGAUGAGCACUAUUAUCUCCUGAUGUUCAGCAUCGCAAUGUGUGUGUUACGCUGCGUCAGCUUCAGCCUGGAGCUGUGCUGGAGCCCCCUGCAGGACGGAGGAACAAACCGAUGUUUCUCUUUUCUGAACUUCAGAAAAUUUCUAACACAACUCUACAACCUCGUCUCGUACUGUUUCUACCAUCCACUGUUCUACAACGGACCCGUCAUUAACUACAACCACUUCAGCCAACAGAUGGACAGUGCGGUGUGUACAGCGUCACCGGCGUUGUUGUUGGUCCAGACUUUGCGUGUUUGUGUGUGGUGGUGUUUAGCUGAGCUUAUGAUCCACGUCAUGUACAUGCACAGCAUCCAGAACAACGAGACCUACCUCACCAUGCUUCCAUCCUGGGCUCUGGGAGGUCUGGCUCUGGCUCUUGUACAGUUUUUCUAUGUGAAGUAUUUGGUGUUGUUUGGUGUUGCGUCUCUGCUGAUGAAGUUGGAUGGUAUUGAGCCUCCUCCACUGCCCCGCUGUGUGAGCACCAUGUACAGCUUCCGAGGGAUGUGGAGGCACUUUGAUGUGGGACUUUACAGAUGGCUCAUCAGGUAUGUGUACGUUCCUUUGGGUGGGUCUCAGCACGGGCUUUUCCAGAAGCUUAUCUCCAUGGCGAUGACGUUCAGCUUUGUGUGUUUGUGGCACGGUUGCCAUGACUACCUGCAGUGCUGGGCCCUGCUCAACUGGGUGUGUGUGUUAACAGAGAACAGCAUCACACUCUUCCUCUGCUGGCCUCCUCUUCAUCACACCAUUGCAUGUUAUCUGUCUCCGCCCAUGAGGAGGCGUGGCCUUGCGCUUAUCUCUGCCUUUUCCACAGCUAUGCUAAUUCUGUCCAAUCUGGUGUUUCUGGGAGGAAUUCACAUUGGCCGUGUGUAUUGGGAGAGGGUGUUCAUGCAAGGCUGGUCCUCCAUGGCGGUUCCUGUGCUUGGGUGUCUGUACUGUUUUGCGCAGGUUGGACUGGAGAUGGACAGUAAGAAGACGUGAAGACUGAAUUUUAUCUCAUUAUGACUGAGUAGACUGGUGUAGCGAGACAGGUGGGGAGUGAAGGUCUGGAGUUUCGAUGUCUCAGACGAUGUCCUUCAGGUGUGUUGCUGUCGACUGUGAUGUGUUCAGUCUACACAUGCUACUUCUGAGAUGCCAGUGAUCCUGACCCCUUCUGCUCUCCAGACCUGCCUGAUCCAUCCUGAUGCCCUACUUCUGGUUAGAGUUCUCAUCAAAUGGAAAUCACUUGCUGCUGCUGAGGAUGGCCCCAAUUGGACAGCCUGGAGAUCAUUGAGAUUACUGUGGAUGGUAUGACUUAAAAAUCAUGAAGAUGGCUUUGGACCACAAUUCAUAAGAGCAGUUAUGCUAUGAUGGCUUAGGACUACAAUUGCUAUGACUGCUUUGGGACUGCAAUUCCUUUGAACAGUUUUGCACUCAAGUCUCCAUCAGUGAAAAGUUUGAUAACUUCAACAAAACAGACUUCAUGUGAAAAGUAUACUAAAUUUCCUGGUUACACAACUGCACUAUUACACAUAGUACACAGUUAUAGAAGGGAUUUAUUUAUUUAUUUAUUUAUUUAUUGCACUAUCUUUUGACAACCAGAUGAGGAUGGUUCCCUUUUGAGUCUGGAUCCUCUCAAGGUUUCUUCCUCAUAUCAUCUCAGAUAUGAUUAGGGAUAAAUUCAUACAUUUAAAAUUUAUAUCCUGAAUGUAUUUACUUCUGCAAAUCUGGUUUGUGGUAAAAUUAAAUUCAAAUAAAAUUGAAUUGAAUUGUAUUCCAGUUUCCCCCCAUCUGCCCCCACCAUGUGAAUGGUAAUCUCAAAUGUGCCUAUGUUCAUCAAAAAUGAGGUGAUAAUGUAGGAGUUAGCUGGCUUCUGGAAGUUCGCCAGCCCCAUGAAAACGAUUUCGCUUGGCUGAAAGAACUCUGUAGUGAAGCACAUCCUGUCUUUUUGUAGGUAGGUUUUCAUGUUUCUAAAUAAUCAUGAAGAGACACUGAAUGUAAAUUUCGAAUGCAAUUACAGUGACAGCAGAUACACUGUUUACACCACCACUGAAAGUCUGAUAUUCUUUGAGUGUGGGGACAUCGGGCACAAAAGGUCUGUCUGCCUGCACAGAUCUGUGCAGCCGUGGAGCUCAGGGCGCGAGUUACAGCAGCAGCAGCAGCAGCAGCAGUGUGCGUGCAGUCAGUGGGAGAACAUCGGGGAGCUCGAACCUCGAGUGAAUGACUCCCAGAGCAGUGACACACUGGAGCCAGAGAUGCAAGAGGUCAGUGAGGAACCAAACAGUAACACUGAGACAAACACUUUACUCAAUGCUAACACCUGUGUUGAUGCUGAUACUGUAAUUAACAUCACUGGCAGCGAAAAUAGCAUUAGCACUAGGCUGAUGCUGAUGCAGGAGUUAGCGAUACCAGUGACCCCUGCCUUAGUGUCUGCACUGAGGAUGUCGUUGACCCUGUAAAACAGCAGCAGGAGAACCCACACAGCUCACACAGGAUCACACAGAGACUAAGAAACACCACAGAGGUGAAGGACAACAUAGUAGAGCUGAGGACAGGAAAAAAGAAAAAAAAUGAACAUUAUUGAUCUCUAAACAAAACUGAAAACAGCAGUGAAUGAAUCAGUGAAUGUUGUGAUGCAGGACAGUGAAGACCCAGUGUGCAGUACAGGAGCUACGGGUGAAGAACAGCUCACACUCGUGGAGGGCAGAGACAUCAGACAAGCCAAGAUUUUCUGACAGUUCAGACAGAUGAAGCCCUGUACACCACAGCACAGAUAAUCCGCUUUUUAGAACUGACAAAAGGUAAAAGAAACAUAUCACUCUCAAGCUAUUUUCCAGAUAAUGCAAAAUUUGUUAAAUCACAACACACUACAGAAAACAGAAAUUUGAAAGUACUCUCAGCAUGCAGAUUUAGACUCAGAAAAUGGACAUCAGUGAAAGACUCUAAAAUGGACUCAGUGAAAGACUCUACUUUAAACUGGAUUAUAGACUUUCACAUGGAUUUAGAGAUUGAAAUCGGACUGAAGACUGAAGGGGUUUGGGGCUUUUUGUGUGGGAGGGUGUGAUGUGUGGGGUCUAAUGGGUCUUUAUAAUGUGUAAAUAUGUAAAUAUGCAAAACUGAUGCAUUAAGGGUAUCUUAAAAAGUAAAAAAAAAAGUCUUUCUCUGUCUCUCUUGAUCUCACUCUCUUUCUGUUUCUCUCUCUCAUUAUUCCUCAUCUCUGAUUUCACAGUGUAUUGUGUAUUUAAUUAGAUUAGUUGCUAGCUUCCAUGAAGCAUCUCCGUCAUUACUCACAUGGAGGUACGUGUGUGUGUGUGUGUACAUGAGCUGUGUGAACACAGUGUAUUUAGAUGUUAAAUGGCUCAGCAGCACAACACUUGCACAAUGACUCUAAACCCCACCCCCUGUCUUUACAUCACGCCUCCUUCACUGGGACUGACAGAUACAGAGGUCAUGCCUCCUUCACUGGGACUGACAGAUACAGAGGCCACGCCUCCUUCACUGGGACUGACAGGUACAGAGGCCACGCCUCCUUCACUGGGACUGACAGGUACAGAGGCCACGCCUCCUUCACUGGGACUGACUGGUACAGAGGCCACGCCUCCUUCACUGGGACUGACAGGUACAGAGGCCACGCCUCCUUCACUGGGACUGACAGGUACAGAGGCCACGCCUCCUUCACUGGGACUGACAGGUACAGAGGCCACGCCUCAGAUUAUUAUAGUGCAUAGUAAUGUGAAAUACUGACAUGCAGUUUAAUUUUUCCCAGUUUCUAUUUGUAUCUAAAUAAAUAUUUGUGUGUGUGUGUGUGUGUGUGUGUGUAAAUGAACUGUUAAAGCCAGU
Molecule: RNA transcript, 4696 nt
Organism: Pangasianodon hypophthalmus (striped catfish)
Lineage: Eukaryota; Metazoa; Chordata; Actinopteri; Siluriformes; Pangasiidae
Gene: hhat
Gene name: hedgehog acyltransferase
Exons: 13
Source: RefSeq, a predicted model, not a curated record